AAGUCGUAACAAGGUUUCCGUAGGUGAACCUGCGGAAGGAUCAUUAAAGAAUUGGCUUCGGCCUUUUUCAUCAACCUGUGCAUGAUAUAUUUGAUUUUGGUGUGGACGUGACUUCGGUCCCUCGGUCAACGAGUGUGCCCGCCAAAGGUUUUUUUUAACUUUUUUGUGAUGAAUGUCCUUCUUUAAAACCAAAAGAAAA
Molecule: unclassified non-coding RNA, 199 nt
Filed under: plant metagenome
Description: partial contains small subunit ribosomal RNA and internal transcribed spacer 1
Rfam family: Eukaryotic small subunit ribosomal RNA (bases 1-46)
Source: RNAcentral